CGACUAAGAUCAGUCCUGGCAGGCCGCAAGGCACACACGCAUCAUCCGCGACUACGAAGCCAACGGACUUCGCGAUGCGGGUGCAGUGAUUGACCUAGCACGUGGAUACAUGGCGACCAGGACGGCUACCACGGAAACGGGUGCAACCGACUCGAGCCGGGAGAUGGAGGUGCCACCAGGGUUCGUCCCUCUUCUGGGGAACGCUCUGCCACGAGCGAGGGACCCGCCCGCAGUUGCUCCUUCUCAAGUGUCGCCGCCUCCCGCAUGUGCAUCGGGACCGUCGACACCACCUGCAGCACAUCCAACACCGACAACAGUGGUGAGGGUGCCUCCUUCGAUGGGGACACUCUCACUCCAUCCGAUGGCUAGAAUCGUGAUCUCACUCCAACCUUUGAAGAAUGCGAGCCUUCCACCCUUCCGCUGCAGCAGCUGCACAUUGUUGCCGAAAGCCGCGAUGGUCGUUGACCACACCCUUGUGAUCUUCACCUACUAGACAACAGCUUUCCAAGUGCAGAUGUAAAAGCAUGGUACCGUUGUAUGUGGCUGCAAGAGGCAUCCCCAAGGCCCUUUUGCAGGACCUGAUGUUGGAAUGUAGAGAGAUAUGUGGAGGUUGUCUAACUAGCUUGUUUGUCUAUGAGUGUGUUUCUAGUGCUGGCUUGAUGAGACUGUUGAACAUAUCUUCUUUUUUUGUUUGCUAGGAGUGUGUGCCCCUUUGUAAGUACGGUGCUGAUUAAGCUUAAGUACAUGUUGUGUGUGAUUAUGAUAAUCUCGUCAUAUUUGAAUGUGGCGAAAUCUCCCCAAAGAGAACUCCAGAUUCAGUCCAGGGCUCCAGGCCACCAAAAGCUUCCAUAUGUGCGUUUACUCACCG
Lolium perenne is the source of this 868-nucleotide long non-coding RNA. RefSeq lists it as uncharacterized. NCBI's taxonomy places the organism in Eukaryota, Viridiplantae, Streptophyta, Magnoliopsida, Poales, Poaceae. The record is from RefSeq and is a predicted model, not a curated record.